RNAcentral lists this ribosomal RNA (433 nucleotides) under uncultured bacterium. Its description in RNAcentral is "partial 16S ribosomal RNA". It matches the Rfam family "Bacterial small subunit ribosomal RNA", at positions 28 to 507 of the family's 1533-position model. The record is from RNAcentral.
GACGAACGCUGGCGGCAUGCCUAACACAUGCAAGUCGAACGGAACGGUCGGGUCUAGUGUGGCGCGUGCGGGUACCGGGGUGGCGCAUGCGCGUGUAACCGGAGUAACUCCCCGACAGAGGUGCUAAUAACGGCUGGUGUAUUCGGACCAAAGGUUUAUCGGCUUUGGGUGUGGCCGCGGUGGUUUAGCUAGUUGGUAGGGUAAAUGCCGACCAACGCGCAGCGUAUUAGCUGGUCUGAGAGGAUGAGCAGCCACACUGGGACUGAGACACGGCCGAGACUCCGACGGGAGGCAGCAGUGGGGAAUACUGGACAAGGGGCGAAAGCUUGAGCAAGCAAUGCCGCGUGAGGGAUGCAGGUCUUAGGGUUGUAAAGCUCUUUUAGCUGGGAGGAUAAUGACAGUACUGGGAGAAGAAGCGCCGGCUAACUCCGUG